RNAcentral lists this unclassified non-coding RNA (480 nucleotides) under Hevea brasiliensis (rubber tree). Lineage: Eukaryota; Viridiplantae; Streptophyta; Magnoliopsida; Malpighiales; Euphorbiaceae. The record is from RNAcentral.
AGCGAGUAGGAUGGCAUAGCAGCAAGAAUUGAAACAGCGGCAGCAGUGACGUCAGGGUCAGGGAAGUGGAGAUCAGAACGGACGCCAGUGCAUACGGAGUCCCAGAGAUCAGCAGUGAGACGAGUGGAUCGAAUCAAGUCAAAAGAGAGCUUCUUACAAACGGCGGAGGCUGGUGCAGCGACGAUCUCUUCGACGGCGGUCUUGGCGAUGACAGAAAUGUCACGGCCAGCAGCAGACUGCUGGAGAGCUUGGAGGAGAGCACCAGAUUGGCGCAAAGCGUCAUUGGAGCGGAGGUCCGCUUGGAUCUGAGCGAAGAGUAUAUCCAUCUUGGUCUAUGCAGAGACCAAGAUUCGAAGAUUUACUUUGGAUCAAUUAGAGGCUAUUUUCUGGCGAUUGAAACAUGGAUAAUUUGAAGCAAAAUUUGAUUGGAAAUGGAGAAAGGAUGGAGGGAAGGUGACGAGAACCGCAAUGUGAGCUUUG